GCUGAUGUGGCAUGCCUCUAAAACCAGUAUUAGAAUUUAUCUUUUUCUUGAAUUUUUUGGGCUUUUCCCCAUUUUAAUUAAUUCUUUUCUUUCAAUUAUACCCGUUUGUUUUCCUUAAUAGAUUCAUUAAUAACUGUUUAAUUUUACCGAACGCGUACCAGCAAUAAUUCACGACAUUUCGAAACAACCCCACAGUCUUCCCCUUUUCCUUCACCAAUCACCACUAACCCUUCUUCUCACGAAAUCUACAUUCAAUUCAUACCUCCACAAUCACAUCAACUUUCAGCCACUAACAAAAAAAAAAAAUUAACAGAGGAAUACAAUUCAACCCAUCGGUUGCGGUAUUUUAAAGCAAAAACUUAAGAUUUUCAAUUAUAAUGGCGGCAGGACAGGCUAAGAAGAUACUAGUAGAAGAGAAGAUUUUUACCCUUUGAAAUAUUUCAGAAGGUCCUAUGUACUGCAAUUUCGUCGCAACUGUGCCUUUAAGUGAAUCGUACUACUUUAAUUUAACAUUAUUCUCAUUUGUAAGAUUUUGGAGGAAACGGGAUUUGAGUUUGGACAAACGUAAAAGGCAAAUAAGAGAUAUUCCCUACUCUGGAGUUAUGCUGUGUUGUGGCGCCAGUGAUGGGGUGGCGACCACGUUCUGUUCACCGAGUCCCAUAAUGGGGCCGGAUAUGGCAUAUGUUUUGACAUGCAUUGAUCGUUCUGUCCACUGCGUCCCUCACGGAAGGGCUGGGAUCUGUUAUACGCACAUAUACGACAUACGACCCUGAUAUGCACGGUUUGUGUUUGGAAAGUAAGUUCUCUGGCGUUUUGUAUCCUCUGUACUUCUUCUGACCUACGAUAUUGAUAUACAUGAUCUGUGUCUGGAAAAACAAGUAUUCUGACAUUCUGGAUCCGUACUUCUUCUGACAUACGACUUCGGCUUAUAUGAUCUGUGUUUGGGAAACAAUCAUUCUAAUAUUCUGAGUCUGCACUUUUCUGACAUACGACAUCUGCUUACAUGAUUAGUGAUCGGGAAAUAGCGCUUUGAUAAUCUGGAUAAUGUAUUUACCUUUGUACUGUUGAUCCGGUAUGUUCUGUUUUCUGUAUUUCAUGCUUUACAUACUCAGUACAUAUUCCGUACUGACCCCUCUUCUUCAGGGGCUGCGUUUCAUGCCGCGCAGGUUCACCCUGAUGAUGUGAAGUUGUUAUAGAGGAUGUUCCAGCAGGAUUGGCGAGCUCCAUUUGCUUCUGGAGCGUUGUCGAGUCAGAGUGCAUGUACGAUAUGCUUUCCGGAUUGAUGUUAGAGACUUUGUAGACAGAGUCGUGAGUAUAGUAUGUCAGUUGUGUAUGCGGCUUCAUUAGCCGAUAUGUCAUUCUGUAUUAUGUGUUAAAUUCUAUAUGAUUAUAGAUUCUGUUUG
Long non-coding RNA from Lycium barbarum (goji berry), 1403 nucleotides. RefSeq lists it as uncharacterized. The record is from RefSeq and is a predicted model, not a curated record. Lineage: Eukaryota; Viridiplantae; Streptophyta; Magnoliopsida; Solanales; Solanaceae. The transcript is spliced from 4 exons.